UGCUUAGCCAGGUGACACUUUUCAGACA
RNAcentral lists this non-coding RNA (28 nucleotides) under Macaca fascicularis (crab-eating macaque). Lineage: Eukaryota; Metazoa; Chordata; Mammalia; Primates; Cercopithecidae. The record is from RNAcentral. RNAcentral also lists the same sequence under 1 other name.